This 433-nucleotide ribosomal RNA is filed under the name uncultured bacterium. RNAcentral describes it as "partial 16S ribosomal RNA". It matches the Rfam family "Bacterial small subunit ribosomal RNA", at positions 29 to 507 of the family's 1533-position model. The record is from RNAcentral.
AACGAACGCUGGCGGCAUGCCUAACACAUGCAAGUCGAACGAGACCUUCGGGUCUAGUGGCGCACGGGUGCGUAACGCGUGGUAACCUGCCCUUAGGUUCGGAAUAACUCCCCGAAAGGGGUGCUAAUACCGGAUAAUGUCUUCGGACCAAAGAUUUCUCGCCUUUGGAUGGGCCCGCGUUGGAUUAGCUAGUUGGUAGGGUAAAAGCCUACCAAGGCGACGAUCCAUAGCUGGUCUGAGAGGAUGAGCAGCCACACUGGGACUGAGACACGGCCCAGACUCCUACGGGAGGCAGCAGUGGGGAAUAGUGGACAAUGGGGGAAAGCCUGAUCCAGCAAUGCCGCGUGAGUGAUGAAGGCCUGAGGGUUGUAAAGCUCUUUUACCCGGGAUGAGAAUGACAGUACCGGGAGAAUAAGCGCCGGCUAACUCCGUG